This 391-nucleotide unclassified non-coding RNA is filed under the name Hevea brasiliensis (rubber tree). The record is from RNAcentral. Lineage: Eukaryota; Viridiplantae; Streptophyta; Magnoliopsida; Malpighiales; Euphorbiaceae.
AAGGUCAUUGUCAUCUAAACUGCUUAAUGCGGAGAUGGAAAAAGCCAAAUGAUAUUCAACAACAUUUUCUUCCAAUCUAAUUCACACGUUCGAUCGCACAAUGUGGAAAAAUGACUACCUUGAGUUUCUUCCAAAAAAAAUGUAAAGCAUUUGCCCCAAAUUGAAGCCCUAUCUUGUGAGCUUGAUGUGUUCAAAGUUUUAACUGGAAGCGUCUCUACAAAGAAAUCCAUACUAGAAUUUCAGCUUCUACAUGUUGCAAGAGAAUUGAUUUUCUAUGCAGAAACUGACAAGCUAUGCCUGCCCCUAGCCCGAUGGAUAUUUUUAGUGUAAACAAUAUGACCAUUGAUCUUCAGAAGAGUUAUAUGGAAGCACUUUAGACUCGGAUGAAGUU